UACGUAGGUCGCGAGCGUUAUCCGGAUUUAUUGGGCGUAAAGCGAGGGCAGGCGGUUAAGUAAGUCUGAAGUGAAAAGGUGUGGCUUAACCAUAGUAUGCUUUGGAAACUGUUUAACUUGAGUGCAGAAGGGGUGGGUGGAAUUCCAUGUGUAGCGGUGAAAUGCGUAGAUAUUUGGAGGAACGCCGGUGGCGAAAGCGGCCCUCUGGUCUGUAACUGACGCUGAGGCUCGAAAGCGUGGGGAGCAAACAGG
RNAcentral lists this ribosomal RNA (252 nucleotides) under uncultured bacterium. Its description in RNAcentral is "partial 16S ribosomal RNA". It matches the Rfam family "Bacterial small subunit ribosomal RNA", at positions 524 to 776 of the family's 1533-position model. The record is from RNAcentral.